GAUGAAGAACGCAGCGAAAUGCGAUAAGUAAUGUGAAUUGCAGAAUUCAGUGAAUCAUCGAAUCUUUGAACGCACAUUGCGCCCGCCAGUAUUCUGGCGGGCAUGCCUGUCUGAGCGUCAUUUCAACCCUCAUGCCCCUAGGGCGUGGUGUUGGGGAUCGGCCAAAGCCCGCGAGGGACGGCCGGCCCCUAAAUCUAGUGGCGGACCCGUCGUGGCCUCCUCUGCGAAGUAGUGAUAUUCCGCAUCGGAGAGCGAUGAGCCCCUGCCGUUAAACCCCCAACUUUCCAAGGUUGACCUCAGAUCAGGUAGGAAUACCCGCUGAACUUGAGCAUAUCAAUAAGCGGAGGA
Molecule: unclassified non-coding RNA, 348 nt
Filed under: soil metagenome
Description: partial contains 5.8S ribosomal RNA, internal transcribed spacer 2, and large subunit ribosomal RNA
Rfam family: 5.8S ribosomal RNA (bases 1-120)
Source: RNAcentral